Molecule: long non-coding RNA, 2702 nt
Filed under: Equus asinus (donkey)
Lineage: Eukaryota; Metazoa; Chordata; Mammalia; Perissodactyla; Equidae
Description: lncRNA (ENSEASG00005030290.1)
Source: RNAcentral
CUGACUGGCCACCCUUUGCAAGACACUCUGGUCUCACCUACCUCUUCCCUAUUACAGCAGGGUGAGAAGACCCACGUGUCUACUACCUGCAACAAACACUCAAGAGUUUCCUUUUCCUCCAUCCUCGCAUUCAUCCUUGCCUGCCUGCCCAUGGAGGGCGGUGAGGCAGGCCUGGGGACGGAAUGCACAGCAUGGCAGCUUGAGCGAGCACCUCUGUGGUGUGUACUUGACAGUUGCCGAGAGUAGAUCUCGGGUUCUCACCACACACACACACACACACACACACACACACUAUGGGAAGUGAUAACCUUAUCAUCGUCAUCAUUGGAUAAUAUAGACAUAUAUCAAGUCAUUGCAUUGUACACCCUGAACUUACACAUCUUAUUUGUCAAUUACAUCUCAAUAAAGCUGGAAAAAAUAAAUAAAUAAAUGAAAAAGACCACAUGGGAGGCAAUAAAACAGAGUGGUGGGGAGCAAGGCCCUUGGAGUCUGUCUGCCUGGCAUCCGAUAUUUGACCGGAUCUGGGCUGUACUUCUGCGUCUGUAAAAUGGGCAGAUUAGCCACCUCACAGAGUUGUCUGAGGACCACCCGAGACAAGGCUGGUAAAGCCUUUGAGUGUAGUGUCUGGUACACAGUAAAUGCUAACUAAAUGCUAACAAUUUUUGAACAAAUAUUUAAUGUGUUGCAAUCUAAUGGAGAAGCUAGACAUCGAACAAAAACUCCAGAGUGAUGGAUGGUUGCGUCGCUCAGCCUCCUCUUCCAGGGCCUGCCUCAGAGCCUGGCAGUGACCCCUCACGGCUGGCGGAGACUGCAGCGCCGCUGCAGGAGCCCCAUCUGCGUGUGACACCGUUGCUUCUCCACUGGGCUCCUGGCUCGUUGUACCGGCAGCCUCAGCCUGACAGACAGGGGGAGCUGAGAGUUUCACUGGGACGCGGGUCUGCCCUCCAAAGCCCAGCCUGGGUGCUCUGCUGAAGAGAGAUGGGGGAUGUCUGUGGCUCUAGAUUUUUUGUUUUUGUUUUUAAUGGUCUGGCUUGCUCGGCCUUUUUUCCAGGUGUUUCCUAAAAUAGCUUUCCACUCCUCCUCCCUUGGACCCACCUUCAGCCCUGCCUUCAGAGGCAUCCAGAUUUUCAGACUUGAACACACAUCCAGUUCUGCUUCUGACGGUUGUCUUCAAUAAAGUGUAAAAAGGAGAGCGAGCCCUCUUCUACAUUUUACGGUCUCCGCACUCAGCAGAAUAUUCUUCCAGAAUGUUCUCACCGUUUUACACUGUUGCUUGCUGUCAUCAGACGCCAUGCUUUUUCUGCUAGACAAUGCUUGGAGCCACACCCCAGAGGCUGACGGCCUCCUGGAGGUGGUUCUGGCAACGAAAGGCCAAGACCUUGGCUCUGGACAGCUGCCUGCCCCAGGAGCUUUGCAGAGCCUGCUGGUCGGCCUCCUGGGUCCGACCCUGCUUGCCUUCAUGGUUUCGAAUCCUGUGUCCAGGGACCUGCGCCCAGCCAUUUCCCCUCUUUCUGCCGCGCAGUCUGGGGUCCUCGCAGUCUGGGGUCCUCCACUCCCCCAGCCAAGGUAGGUUCUGCCUGAUGAAUAAGUCCAGCCUCACGGCUGCAGGCCUGGCAACUUUGCUGCACUCCCUGGCCGGGUCACGCUGGAGUCGUUAGAGCCCGCCUUCUGUGAGGUGACAAUUAGCUUCUACUUUUAACCAAAGCUUUUGUAAAGAAAACCUUUAUCUUUAGCUCUGAUGUGGUAUUUAAAACAUCUUCAGAUGACUGUGUUCGAAGUUGGUGACUGGCCCUUCCUACCUUCUGCUUUAAUCAAUUUUGUUUUUCUUUACUACCACUUUCCUUCUGAUUCCUCUGACUUUUAAACAAUUACUCUUGAACAAUUGAUGAGGAAAUUCCUAAUUCCUUUAUAUUUUCACUUUUGGAUUUCUUCUUGUUUAUAAAUGGAUAACCUUUGUACUUUUUUGGAGAAGAUGACAAAGGGCCCAGAGGUCCCAGCCAUUUAGGAGCUGCGGAAGUGGAAGUUCCUGGGGGCGGGGGUAUAUUUGGGGGCCGAAGGCUUUGAGAGGGGGAUUGGGAAGGAAAAGGACAAGUAGGUAGACCUGGGGUGCAACUAGAAGUCACUGGUGCAGCUCACAUGUGCUAAUUAGGUUGGCCCGACGUACCACAGGAGUCACUUCCAAUAAUAGCAAUGGCUGAAACUGAGAACUUCCCAUACCCCAGGGACUUUGCAUGCCUUCUUCAUUGAAUUCUCACAACGGACCUUACGUAGUAGGUGCUUUCAUUAUCUCCACUUUCAGAUCAGGAAACUGAAAUAUAGAGAGUUUAAAUAGCAUGGCCGAGGCUACACAGCUGAAUGGCCAGGCAGGGUGUGAAGCUGGGCCUGCCUCACCCUCCGGGCACCACUGCUGGGCCCACUCGGCUCUCCCUCCUGGAGCCGUUAGCCUUGUCUUCUUGCCCAUCCUCCCCAAACUCCAGUCCAGUCUCACACCCCUCUUCCCUCUCUAAUGUCCUGCCCCCACAUCCUUGAUUCUUCCCCUUAAAACACUGACCUGGUAUGGUAUCUCCUUUUUCACCCUCUGUCCAGUGGGUUGCCCCACAAUUCACAAUCACAUUUUGAGGAGGGGUACACUUGCCAAAGUUCAUGAGCAGAUUUUAGAAUGCCUCCUUGCAGUACUUGUCCGAAACUAUGUUCUGGAUCCU